CCUACGGGAGGCAGCAGUGGGGAAUAUUGGACAAUGGGCGAAAGCCUGAUCCAGCAAUGCCGCGUGAGUGAUGAAGGCCUUAGGGUUGUAAAGCUCUUUUUACCAGGGAUGAUAAUGACAGUACCUGGAGAAUAAGCUCCGGCUAACUCCGUGCCAGCAGCCGCGGUAAUACGGAGGGAGCUAGCGUUGUUCGGAAUUACUGGGCGUAAAGCGUACGUAGGCGGUUAUUCAAGUCAGAGGUGAAAGCCCGGGGCUCAACCCCGGAACGGCCUUUGAAACUAGAUAGCUAGAAUCUUGGAGAGGUUAGUGGAAUUCCGAGUGUAGAGGUGAAAUUCGUAGAUAUUCGGAAGAACACCAGUGGCGAAGGCGACUAACUGGACAAGUAUUGACGCUGAGGUACGAAAGCGUGGGGAGCAAACAGGAUUAGAUACCCUGGUAGUCCACGCCGUAAACGAUGAUAACUAGCUGUUCGGGCACUUGGUGCUUGAGUGGCGCAGCUAACGCAUUAAGUUAUCCGCCUGGGGAGUACGGUCGCAAGAUUAAAACUUAAAGGAAUUGACGG
RNAcentral lists this ribosomal RNA (562 nucleotides) under uncultured bacterium. RNAcentral's name for it is "bacterial SSU rRNA". It matches the Rfam family "Bacterial small subunit ribosomal RNA", at positions 338 to 916 of the family's 1533-position model. The record is from RNAcentral.